UACGGGGGGGGCAAGCGUUGUUCGGAAUUACUGGGCGUAAAGGGCUCGUAGGCGGCCAACUAAGUCAGACGUGAAAUCCCCAGGCUCAACCUGGGAACUGCGUCCGAUACUGGAUGGCUUGAAUCCGGGAGAGGGAUGCAGAAUUCCAGGUGUAGCGGUGAAAUGCGUAGAUAUCUGGAGGAACACCGGUGGCGAAGGCGGCAUCCUGGACCAAUAUUGACGCUGAGGAGCGAAAGCUAGGGGAGCAAACGGG
This 253-nucleotide ribosomal RNA is filed under the name uncultured bacterium. RNAcentral describes it as "partial 16S ribosomal RNA". It matches the Rfam family "Bacterial small subunit ribosomal RNA", at positions 524 to 776 of the family's 1533-position model. The record is from RNAcentral.